Molecule: long non-coding RNA, 290 nt
Filed under: Cyanistes caeruleus (blue tit)
Lineage: Eukaryota; Metazoa; Chordata; Aves; Passeriformes; Paridae
Description: lncRNA (ENSCCEG00000024070.1)
Source: RNAcentral
GACUGGAUAUUAGAGGUCUUUUCCAGCUUUAAUGAUUCUGUGAUUUUGUGGGAGCUCUACAGCUCUGAUGGUCCAGGCUGGGUGCCCUUGGUGACCUCUGAGGGGGCUGUGACACCCCUGCAAGACCCAGAAUCUUUCCAAUGAGGCAUUUUACUGGCAUCUCUUUACUGAAAGGAGAAAGAUAACUCUUGAUGGACUGAUCAGCCAUGCCAGAUGAGCUCAGGAGCAUGAUGACAGACCCAUUUAACUGCAGAACCACCAGUCAGCAAGAAUAUUCUUCAUAAUUAAAA